RNAcentral lists this ribosomal RNA (1487 nucleotides) under uncultured bacterium. RNAcentral describes it as "16S ribosomal RNA". It matches the Rfam family "Bacterial small subunit ribosomal RNA". The record is from RNAcentral.
UGGCUCAGGCAGAACGCUAGCGACAGGCCUAACACAUGCAAGUCGAGGGGCAUCGGGGCGAGGAGCAAUCCUUGCCGCCGGCGACCGGCGCACGGGUGAGUAACGCGUAUGCGACCUGCCCGUUGCAGGGGGAUAAUCGGGAGAAAUCCCGUCUAAUACCGCGUAAUGCCGCGGGGCUGCAUGGCCCUGCGGCCAAAGGGAGCGAUUCCGGCAACGGAUGGGCAUGCGUGACAUUAGCUAGUUGGCGGGGCAACGGCCCACCAAGGCGACGAUGUCUAGGGGUUCUGAGAGGAAGGUCCCCCACACUGGUACUGAGACACGGACCAGACUCCUACGGGAGGCAGCAGUGAGGAAUAUUGGUCAAUGGGCGCGAGCCUGAACCAGCCAAGUCGCGUGAGGGAUGACGGCCCUACGGGUUGUAAACCUCUUUUGUCGGGGAGCAAAUUCCGCCACGUGUGGCGGAGUCGAGAGUACCCGAAGAAAAAGCAUCGGCUAACUCCGUGCCAGCAGCCGCGGUAAUACGGAGGAUGCGAGCGUUAUCCGGAUUUAUUGGGUUUAAAGGGUGCGUAGGCGGACUGUCAAGUCAGCGGUAAAAUACGGGGGCUCAACCUCCGCCCGCCGUUGAAACUGACGGUCUUGAGUGGGCGAGAAGUAUGCGGAUGCGUGGUGUAGCGGUGAAAUGCAUAGAUAUCACGCAGAACUCCGAUUGCGAAGGCAGCAUACCGGCGCCCGACUGACGCUGAAGCACGAAAGCGUGGGUAUCGAACAGGAUUAGAUACCCUGGUAGUCCACGCAGUAAACGAUGAAUACUAGCUGUCCGGGGCGAAUGAGCCCUGGGUGCACAGCGAAAGCGUUAAGUAUUCCACCUGGGGAGUACGCCGGCAACGGUGAAACUCAAAGGAAUUGACGGGGGCCCGCACAAGCGGAGGAACAUGUGGUUUAAUUCGAUGAUACGCGAGGAACCUUACCCGGGCUCAAACGACACAGGAACGUACCUGAAAGGGUUCGGCUCUACGGAGCCUGUGUCGAGGUGCUGCAUGGUUGUCGUCAGCUCGUGCCGUGAGGUGUCGGCUUAAGUGCCAUAACGAGCGCAACCCCCAUCGACAGUUGCUAACAGGUCAGGCUGAGGACUCUGUCGAGACUGCCGGCGCAAGCUGCGAGGAAGGCGGGGAUGACGUCAAAUCAGCACGGCCCUUACGUCCGGGGCGACACACGUGUUACAAUGGCAGGUACAGCGGGAAGCCACCUGGCGACAGGGAGCGGAACCCGAAAGCCUGUCUCAGUUCGGAUUGGAGUCUGCAACCCGACUCCAUGAAGCUGGAUUCGCUAGUAAUCGCGCAUCAGCCACGGCGCGGUGAAUACGUUCCCGGGCCUUGUACACACCGCCCGUCAAGCCAUGGAAGCCGGGGGUGCCUGAAGUGCGCUGCCGCGAGGAGCGCCCUAGGGUAAAACCGGUGACUGGGGCUAAGUCGUAACAAGGUAACCGU